GGCGAAGAAGCGCCAGGAGGAACUCUGGGUGGAGGGAGGCUGGCUCGAAGCGAUACUGACGUGCAAAUCGUUCGUCUGACUUGGGUAUAGGGGCGAAAGACUAAUCGAACCAUCUAGUAGCUGGUUCCCUCCGAAGUUUCCCUCAGGCGAGCUGGAGCCCAUUACGAGUUCUAUCAGGUAAAGCCAAUGAUUAGAGGCAUUGGGGACGCAACGUCCUCGACCUAUUCUCAAACUUUAAAUAGGUAGGAUGGCUCGGCUGCUUCGGUGAGCCG
Molecule: non-coding RNA, 272 nt
Organism: Hordeum vulgare subsp. vulgare (domesticated barley)
Lineage: Eukaryota; Viridiplantae; Streptophyta; Magnoliopsida; Poales; Poaceae
Source: Rfam